AACGAACGCUGGCGGCAUGCCUAACACAUGCAAGUCGAACGAGACCUUCGGGUCUAGUGGCGCACGGGUGCGUAACGCGUGGGAAUCUGCCCUUGGGUUCGGGAUAACAGUUGGAAACGACUGCUAAUACCGAAUGAUGACUUCGGUCCAACGAUUUAUCGCCCAGGGAUGAGCCCGCGUCGGAUUAGCUUGUUGGUGAGGUAAAGGCUCACCAAGGCGACGAUCCGUAGCUGGUCUGAGAGGAUGAUCAGCCACACUGGGACUGAGACACGGCCCAGACUCCUACGGGAGGCAGCAGUGGGGAAUAUUGGACAAUGGGCGAAAGCCUGAUCCAGCAAUGCCGCGUGAGUGAUGAAGGCCUUAGGGUUGUAAAGCUCUUUUACCCGGGAAGAUAAUGACUGUACCGGGAGAAUAAGCCCCGGCUAACUCCGUGCCAGCCGCCGCGGUAA
Molecule: ribosomal RNA, 449 nt
Filed under: uncultured bacterium
Lineage: Bacteria
Description: partial 16S ribosomal RNA
Rfam family: Bacterial small subunit ribosomal RNA
Source: RNAcentral